Molecule: transfer RNA, 401 nt
Filed under: uncultured Microcystis sp.
Lineage: Bacteria; Bacillati; Cyanobacteriota; Cyanophyceae; Chroococcales; Microcystaceae
Description: bacterial LSU rRNA
Rfam family: tRNA (bases 135-208)
Source: RNAcentral
AAGGGAGACCUAAUUCCGGUAGGAGACGAAAAAAAAGUAGUACCAACCGAGAAUCAAUCCCAAAAGGUCGGAGCGAGGCGAAAUUGGCUUUCAAACUAGGUUCUGGGUUCACACAAGACCUGAAUCAGGAACAAGGGCUAUUAGCUCAGGUGGUUAGAGCGCACCCCUGAUAAGGGUGAGGUCCCUGGUUCGAGUCCAGGAUGGCCCACCUGCACAGGUGGCAAAAACAAGAGAAGCGAGGAAUCAGCACCUUAUCUUAUCUAUAUAUAUAUAGGAGAGAAUGCUGGCUCUGAGUAAAGAGUCCAGAGGAACCUUGAAAACUGCAUAGAGCUAGGUGAAAAAGCCAAAAAAGAAGACCGCAAGGUCAAGCUAAUGAGGGCUAAUGGUGGAUACCUAGGCAC